CCUACGGGGGGCAGCAGUGGGGAAUAUUGCACAAUGGGGGAAACCCUGAUGCAGCGACGCCGCGUGAGUGAAGAAGUAUUUCGGUAUGUAAAGCUCUGUCAGCAGGGAAGAAAGAAAUGACGGUACCUGACCAAGAAGCCCCGGCUAACUACGUGCCAGCAGCCGCGGUAAUACGUAGGGGGCAAGCGUUAUCCGGAAUUACUGGGUGUAAAGGGAGCGUAGACGGUUAAGUAAGUCUGGAGUGAAAGGCCGGGGCCCAACCCCGGGACUGCAUUGGGAACUGGCGCGCUGGAGUGCCGGAGGGG
RNAcentral lists this ribosomal RNA (305 nucleotides) under uncultured bacterium. RNAcentral's name for it is "bacterial SSU rRNA". It matches the Rfam family "Bacterial small subunit ribosomal RNA", at positions 338 to 657 of the family's 1533-position model. The record is from RNAcentral.